GCGCAGCAGUCGAGAAACCUCCGCAAUACACGAAAGUGUGACGGGGCCAUCCCGAGUGCCGUCCGCUGAGGACGGCUUUUCCCCAGUGUACACAGCUGGGGGAAUAAGGAGAGGGCAAGCCUGGUGUCAGCCGCCGCGGUAAUACCAGCUCUCCGAGUGGUGGGGACGCUUAUUGGGCCUAAAGCAUCCGUAGCCGGCUGGGCAAGUCCUCCGUUAAAUCCAACGAUUCAACUCGUUGGCUGGCGGGGAUACGUGUCCAGUCGGUUGGGGGGC
Molecule: ribosomal RNA, 273 nt
Filed under: uncultured microorganism
Description: partial 16S ribosomal RNA
Rfam family: Archaeal small subunit ribosomal RNA
Source: RNAcentral